GCCACAACAGUGAGAGGUCCACGUACCGCAAAAAAAAAAAAAAAAAAAAAAAUGUCCAGCUAGAUUGCCGAGCACUGGGUUUGAGUAACAGGUGAGGUCGUAAAGUGAAAAAAAAAAAGGAGUCAGGAAGUUAGGCACCAGGAGGAUGAGAAACAGGCUGGAAAGCGUGAUGGGCAAGGAGGUGCCAGGGCAAGUGGUUCGAGAUGGAAACGGCAUUGUGCUAAGGGAUGCAUGGCCGGCCCAAAGCGGCCAGAAUAGAACAUUGCCUUCUGCCGUUCUCAAGCCUGGGAGAGCUAGGAGGGUGCACGUGAUGAUGCGGGAGCUGAGAAAAUAGGCAGGUGUUUCCUGAGCUCCAGGGAUGACGUCUGAGCAGGCUGAGCUGGGAAAGGGCAAAUCCAAUUCUGUAAUUGUUGGCGCAUCAAUUCUGGUGACGGUCCCAGAAGGGUGAUGCCAAGAGCCCGUGGAGGAGGGAUGCCCGGCUGACAUCAUCUGCUAUUUCUGGACCAAUUCACAGCUUCCUCCAGUGAGAACUUCCUUCAGCACGUAAAUCACCCUGGUCUUCUCAUGACCGCCUCAUUUUCCCGAGAAAACAGAGGGAACCCACGCACGUGGGCAUCCUCUGGAGAGGGCGCUGGGUGUGGAGAGAAGAGUGUGAUCCUGAAGUCGCGCAGACACGGGUUCAAAUCUCGCCUCUGCCCCUUGUUGGCUGACGGGCUUUGGAGAAUACGUUUCCAGUGAUCAAUUGGUGGAAGCUUCCAGAAGGAGAUGUAGCCUCCCUUUCUAGCCCCUUCCUGGGCUGUGCGAAUGCCGUGAAUACUAAUGGAAACAGAUGGCUCCCUUCCACGCCACCGCCAAGAGGAGGGAUGGCUAGGGCAAAAUUCCCCUGCAACAGAGAGGAGCCACCAUGCUGACUCUAGCUAUCUUUCCAUAGCCUUUGGCCAGGCAGAGAAGAGCCCUGGGGAUGGACAGCCCUGGGCAAGAUUGACAAAGGCUCAGAGGCUCCAGGGGAUCUGCUUGGGACUCGGUGGGUUUUCCAUGGGGUUAUGCUGAACCAGUAGAAGCAAAUUCUUCUCCAGCAGUGCCCCAAACCUGUAGGUUCCUGGGGACCACUCAGCUGUUGGGGGAGGAGGGGAGCCGUGGUGGGAUGAGGCCCCUGAAAGUGUGGUUCCAAUUCUGUUACUGGGGAACUUUGGGCAAAUUCCUUCUAUUUUCAUAGCCUCAUUCAACUCUUCAGUAAGAUGAGAGGAAUGGACCAGAUUGAGGGUUUACAAAGAGGGUUCCUUAGAAGUCUAUUCCCGUAAGAUGUUGAGGGGAAAAGAAGUUUGGAAGAAUGUGCUUUCCAUCCUCCAAUAUACAUUAUAAACUCUGUAAAGCUCUGUAAGCACAGAAACCUGUUCAACUUUGACCGGGCGUUUCCCAAACAGGCCCUGCUUUCUCAAACGGCCCAUUUUCAUCCCAAGGAAGGCAUGAGCCCUGUGACAUAGUUUGGAAAACAGUGGACUAAACGCACUUCUGCAAAAUUCCCUCCAGUCCUGAAGGUCUUGUUUGUUUCUCUAAGGAAAGUGGGAGGGGUGGGGAGGAGAGAGAAAAUGACAUUGAAAGCUCUUCCCAUGUGUCAUCUCAUGUGACCACCCUCCGCUCCACCAGCUACAUCAUGGUGUGGGUGUGAGUUCCCGCACUGGCAGAUGAGGGCAGCGAGGCCUGCACUGAUUUCAGGGAGAAGGGGAAGCUUCCUCCCAGCCUGCUGCAUGCAGGAAGGUGAGAAAAUCCUGCUUGGAGGUGUGGCUUGGAGGGCAAGGCUCCCCUUCCAGCAGUCUCAGACUCUCUCUAGCCUCCACCCGCCCCAUUCAGGGUUGCCCCCUGCUCUACCCUUUUCUUGGGGGAAGUCUUUGGACAGCAUUAUGGGCUGAGUACAAGGAAAGCCAAGGGCUGGGGUAAGCCACCUACAUAUAACUGACAAAGCUAACUCCCAAGAUUUCAAUCCACAUAGGGCGGGCCCUGAACAGAAGCAUAAAGCCGCCAGUGUGGGUCUGUGUGAUGUAGUGAAAAGAAACUGAACUUUGGAGCUAAACAGACCAGGGGUCAAAUCCUGCCACGAAGACCCUUAACUAACCCUACUUAACUGAUGUCUAAAUGAACUACCGCUAUUCCCUCUGGAAAACCUGCCGACGACAGCCGGUGGCACUUGGGAUGCCUGGCUGUCAGACAACUCCUUUCUUGUUUGCCUGUGUUGUGUGUGUUUCCAAACCUGUUUAUGUCAGUUGCGCUUGUCACUGUAAACAGAUAAUUGAAUCAAGUGUAAACCAAGCCAAUGAAAUACAAGUGGAGAAAGGAGUUAUGCUUUUAUGGUAAUUAAUUUAAUGCUUUGGGAAGGAUGCUAAAAAGUUGCUGUUGAGUUAUGUGUGGCCGAGACUCUACAAGAUUUGAAGAAUCAACCCCAUACAAGGAGGUCUGUGUACUUUGAUUAGUCUUGCAGGGAAUCAAAACCAGAAAUCUCUUAGGUGAUAUUUAUGUGGUCUCCAUUAUGUGUGAUCCCAGGAAGCCAAUUCACCUUUCUGAACUUUGUUUUUCUUGGCUUUAAAAGAAAUAAAAGGAAUCCAAAUCGGAAAAGAAGUAAAACCGUCACUGUUUGCAG
This is a long non-coding RNA of Aethalodelphis obliquidens (Pacific white-sided dolphin), 2635 nucleotides long. RefSeq lists it as uncharacterized. The record is from RefSeq and is a predicted model, not a curated record. Lineage: Eukaryota; Metazoa; Chordata; Mammalia; Artiodactyla; Delphinidae. The transcript has 3 exons.